Molecule: ribosomal RNA, 496 nt
Filed under: uncultured bacterium
Lineage: Bacteria
Description: partial 16S ribosomal RNA
Rfam family: Bacterial small subunit ribosomal RNA
Source: RNAcentral
AUGAACGCUGGCGGCGUGCCUAAUACAUGCAAGUCGAGCGAACAGAUGAGGAGCUUGCUCCUCUGACGUUAGCGGCGGACGGGUGAGUAACACGUGGAUAACCUACCUAUAAGACUGGGAUAACUUCGGGAAACCGGAGCUAAUACCGGAUAAUAUAUUGAGCCGCAUGGUUCAAUAGUGAAAGACGGUUUUGCUGUCACUUAUAGAUGGAUCCGCGCCGCAUUAGCUAGUUGGUAAGGUAACGGCUUACCAAGGCAACGAUGCGUAGCCGACCUGAGAGGGUGAUCGGCCACACUGGAACUGAGACACGGUCCAGACUCCUACGGGAGGCAGCAGUAGGGAAUCUUCCGCAAUGGGCGAAAGCCUGACGGAGCAACGCCGCGUGAGUGAUGAAGGUCUUCGGAUCGUAAAACUCUGUUAUUAGGGAAGAACAAAUGUGUAAGUAACUAUGCACGUCUUGACGGUACCUAAUCAGAAAGCCACGGCUAACUACGUG